This 1123-nucleotide ribosomal RNA is filed under the name Escherichia coli. RNAcentral describes it as "partial 23S ribosomal RNA". It matches the Rfam family "Bacterial large subunit ribosomal RNA", at positions 609 to 1735 of the family's 2925-position model. The record is from RNAcentral. Lineage: Bacteria; Pseudomonadati; Pseudomonadota; Gammaproteobacteria; Enterobacterales; Enterobacteriaceae.
UGUAUAAUGGGUCAGCGACUUAUAUUCUGUAGCAAGGUUAACCGAAUAGGGGAGCCGAAGGGAAACCGAGUCUUAACUGGGCGUUAAGUUGCAGGGUAUAGACCCGAAACCCGGUGAUCUAGCCAUGGGCAGGUUGAAGGUUGGGUAACACUAACUGGAGGACCGAACCGACUAAUGUUGAAAAAUUAGCGGAUGACUUGUGGCUGGGGGUGAAAGGCCAAUCAAACCGGGAGAUAGCUGGUUCUCCCCGAAAGCUAUUUAGGUAGCGCCUCGUGAAUUCAUCUCCGGGGGUAGAGCACUGUUUCGGCAAGGGGGUCAUCCCGACUUACCAACCCGAUGCAAACUGCGAAUACCGGAGAAUGUUAUCACGGGAGACACACGGCGGGUGCUAACGUCCGUCGUGAAGAGGGAAACAACCCAGACCGCCAGCUAAGGUCCCAAAGUCAUGGUUAAGUGGGAAACGAUGUGGGAAGGCCCAGACAGCCAGGAUGUUGGCUUAGAAGCAGCCAUCAUUUAAAGAAAGCGUAAUAGCUCACUGGUCGAGUCGGCCUGCGCGGAAGAUGUAACGGGGCUAAACCAUGCACCGAAGCUGCGGCAGCGACACUAUGUGUUGUUGGGUAGGGGAGCGUUCUGUAAGCCUGCGAAGGUGUACUGUGAGGUAUGCUGGAGGUAUCAGAAGUGCGAAUGCUGACAUAAGUAACGAUAAAGCGGGUGAAAAGCCCGCUCGCCGGAAGACCAAGGGUUCCUGUCCAACGUUAAUCGGGGCAGGGUGAGUCGACCCCUAAGGCGAGGCCGAAAGGCGUAGUCGAUGGGAAACAGGUUAAUAUUCCUGUACUUGGUGUUACUGCGAAGGGGGGACGGAGAAGGCUAUGUUGGCCGGGCGACGGUUGUCCCGGUUUAAGCGUGUAGGCUGGUUUUCCAGGCAAAUCCGGAAAAUCAAGGCUGAGGCGUGAUGACGAGGCACUACGGUGCUGAAGCAACAAAUGCCCUGCUUCCAGGAAAAGCCUCUAAGCAUCAGGUAACAUCAAAUCGUACCCCAAACCGACACAGGUGGUCAGGUAGAGAAUACCAAGGCGCUUGAGAGAACUCGGGUGAAGGAACUAGGCAAAAUGGUGCCGUAACU